This 253-nucleotide ribosomal RNA is filed under the name uncultured bacterium. Its description in RNAcentral is "partial 16S ribosomal RNA". It matches the Rfam family "Bacterial small subunit ribosomal RNA", at positions 524 to 776 of the family's 1533-position model. The record is from RNAcentral.
UACGUAGGGUGCAAGCGUUAAUCGGAAUUACUGGGCGUAAAGCGUGCGCAGGCGGUUUUGUAAGUCAGAUGUGAAAUCCCCGGGCUUAACCUGGGAACUGCGUUUGAAACUACAAGGCUAGAGUGUGGCAGAGGGGGGUGGAAUUCCACGUGUAGCAGUGAAAUGCGUAGAGAUGUGGAGGAACACCGAUGGCGAAGGCAGCCCCCUGGGCCGAUACUGACGCUCAGGCACGAAAGCGUGGGGAGCAAACAGG